UGCCAGACUCCUACGGGAGGCAGCAGUGGGGAAUAUUGCACAAUGGGGGGAACCCUGAUGCAGCGACGCCGCGUGGGUGAAGGAGUACUUCGGUACGUAAAGCCCUAUCAGCAGGAAAGAAAAUGACGGUACCUGACUAAGAAGCCCCGGCUAACUACGUGCCAGCAGCCGCGGUAAUACGUAGGGGGCAAGCGUUAUCCGGAUUUACUGGGUGUAAAGGGAGCGCAGGCGGCCUUGCAAGUCUGAUGUGAAAGGCCGGGGCCCAACCCCGGGACUGCAUUGGAAACUGCGAGGCUGGAGUGUCGGAGAGGCAGGCGGAAUUCCUAGUGUAGCGGUGAAAUGCGUAGAUAUUAGGAGGAACACCAGUGGCGAAGGCGGCCUGCUGGACGAUGACUGACGCUGAGGCUCGAAAGCGUGGGGAGCAAACAGGAUUAGAUACCCGUGUAA
RNAcentral lists this ribosomal RNA (447 nucleotides) under uncultured bacterium. RNAcentral describes it as "bacterial SSU rRNA". It matches the Rfam family "Bacterial small subunit ribosomal RNA", at positions 329 to 793 of the family's 1533-position model. The record is from RNAcentral.